UUGCUGUGGUAUUUUGACUAUACGAAGGUAUUGAAAUAAGAUUUUAAAUGAGUGCUAAGAGAAUGAUUAAACAAUUAAAAGCUUUCUUUAAUUGAAUAAUUGAAUUUAAUUUUUUAGUGCAAAAGCAAAAAUAAAAAUUAGGGACAAGAAGACCCUAUGAAUUUUUUAUUAAAUUUUAUAAAACUUUAUAUAAAAUUUAAUUUAAUUGGGGUGAUGGAAAAAGAAUAAAUAUCUUUUUUUUUAAAAAAAAUUGGUUCCGUUUUUAGCGAUUAAAUGAAAAAAAUACUCUAGGGAUAACAGCGUAAUAAUUUUGGAUAGUUCAUAUAGAUAAAAUAGUUUGCGACCUCGAUGUUG
Molecule: ribosomal RNA, 354 nt
Filed under: Ixodes ricinus (castor bean tick)
Lineage: Eukaryota; Metazoa; Arthropoda; Arachnida; Ixodida; Ixodidae
Description: partial large subunit ribosomal RNA
Source: RNAcentral